GACGAACGCUGGCGGCGCGCCUAACACAUGCAAGUCGAACGAGCGAGAGAGAGCUUGCUUUCUCAAGCGAGUGGCGAACGGGUGAGUAACGCGUGAGGAACCUGCCUCAAAGAGGGGGACAACAGUUGGAAACGACUGCUAAUACCGCAUAAGCCCACAGGUCGGCAUCGACCAGAGGGAAAAGGAGCAAUCCGCUUUGAGAUGGCCUCGCGUCCGAUUAGCUAGUUGGUGAGGUAACGGCCCACCAAGGCAACGAUCGGUAGCCGGACUGAGAGGUUGAACGGCCACAAUGGGACUGAGACACGGACCAGAGUCCUACGGGAGGCAGCAGUGGGGAAUAUUGCACAGUGGGGGAGACUCUGAUGCAGCGACGCCGCGUGGAGGAAGAAGGUCUUCGGAUUGUAAACUCCUGUUGUUGAGGAAGAUAAUGACGGUACUCAACAAGGAAGUGACGGCUAACUACGUG
This 466-nucleotide ribosomal RNA is filed under the name uncultured bacterium. RNAcentral's name for it is "partial 16S ribosomal RNA". It matches the Rfam family "Bacterial small subunit ribosomal RNA", at positions 28 to 507 of the family's 1533-position model. The record is from RNAcentral.